CUUCUGCUAUCUUAUGCAUACAAAAGGGAAUCCUAAACCAACUUUUAGUAUGAGGUUCCAAUGAAAAGCACUGGUGGCUAGAGGCCCUCAGAACUGAAGAUGACUUUCUGCUAUACUGUGAUCAUGUGCAAAACGCUGCUCUUCAAGUUGGAAUUACAAGGACCAUCAGGGGUCUGCCCUGUGAGACCUGAGGGAACAGGGCUAAGGGUCCCCCAGCAACACCCUGGAUUGGGAAGGACAUGUCAGAAGAAGCCAAAUACAGUGUCUGCUUGUGAGGUUCAAGCUGCCUUUUCCUGCAUGAGGAGAUGAGUUACAGCUAUUGUGAUGCUACUGACUUCAGUCUCUGGCAGAGAAGGUGGUACCCAGCAUUAGGCAAAGUCAAGCUGAUAAUAAAGCUGAUGUUGGCCCACUUUGUGUGUGACUG
Molecule: long non-coding RNA, 424 nt
Filed under: Athene cunicularia (burrowing owl)
Lineage: Eukaryota; Metazoa; Chordata; Aves; Strigiformes; Strigidae
Description: lncRNA (ENSACUG00000002030.1)
Source: RNAcentral